AGAGUUUGAUCCUGGCUCAGGACGAACGCUGGCGGCGUGCCUAAUACAUGCAAGUAGAACGCUGAAGGGAGGAGCUUGCUCUUCUUGGAUGAGUUGCGAACGGGUGAGUAACGCGUAGGUAACCUGCCUUGUAGCGGGGGAUAACUAUUGGAAACGAUAGCUAAUACCGCAUAACAAUGGAUGACACAUGUCAUUUAUUUGAAAGGGGCAAUUGUUCCACUACAAGAUGGACCUGCGUUGUAUUAGCUAGUAGGUGAGGUAAUGGCUCACCUAGGCGACGAUACAUAGCCGACCUGAGAGGGUGAUCGGCCACACUGGGACUGAGACACGGCCCAGACUCCUACGGGAGGCAGCAGUAGGGAAUCUUCGGCAAUGGGGGCAACCCUGACCGAGCAACGCCGCGUGAGUGAAGAAGGUUUUCGGAUCGUAAAGCUCUGUUGUAAGUCAAGAACGGGUGUGAGAGUGGAAAGUUCACACUGUGACGGUAGCUUACCAGAAAGGGACGGCUAACUACGUGCCAGCAGCCGCGGUAAUACGUAGGUCCCGAGCGUUGUCCGGAUUUAUUGGGCGUAAAGCGAGCGCAGGCGGUUUGAUAAGUCUGAAGUUAAAGGCUGUGGCUCAACCAUAGUUCGCUUUGGAAACUGUCAAACUUGAGUGCAGAAGGGGAGAGUGGAAUUCCAUGUGUAGCGGUGAAAUGCGUAGAUAUAUGGAGGAACACCGGUGGCGAAAGCGGCUCUCUGGUCUGUAACUGACGCUGAGGCUCGAAAGCGUGGGGAGCGAACAGGAUUAGAUACCCUGGUAGUCCACGCCGUAAACGAUGAGUGCUAGGUGUUGGAUCCUUUCCGGGAUUCAGUGCCGCAGCUAACGCAUUAAGCACUCCGCCUGGGGAGUACGACCGCAAGGUUGAAACUCAAAGGAAUUGACGGGGGCCCGCACAAGCGGUGGAGCAUGUGGUUUAAUUCGAAGCAACGCGAAGAACCUUACCAGGUCUUGACAUCCCGAUGCUAUUUCUAGAGAUAGAAAGUUACUUCGGUACAUCGGUGACAGGUGGUGCAUGGUUGUCGUCAGCUCGUGUCGUGAGAUGUUGGGUUAAGUCCCGCAACGAGCGCAACCCCUAUUGUUAGUUGCCAUCAUUCAGUUGGGCACUCUAGCGAGACUGCCGGUAAUAAACCGGAGGAAGGUGGGGAUGACGUCAAAUCAUCAUGCCCCUUAUGACCUGGGCUACACACGUGCUACAAUGGUUGGUACAACGAGUUGCGAGUCGGUGACGGCGAGCUAAUCUCUUAAAGCCAAUCUCAGUUCGGAUUGUAGGCUGCAACUCGCCUACAUGAAGUCGGAAUCGCUAGUAAUCGCGGAUCAGCACGCCGCGGUGAAUACGUUCCCGGGCCUUGUACACACCGCCCGUCACACCACGAGAGUUUGUAACACCCGAAGUCGGUGAGGUAACCUUUUGGAGCCAGCCGCCUAAGGUGGGACAGAUGAUUGGGGUGAAGUCGUAACAAGGUA
This 1506-nucleotide ribosomal RNA is filed under the name metagenome. RNAcentral's name for it is "bacterial SSU rRNA". It matches the Rfam family "Bacterial small subunit ribosomal RNA". The record is from RNAcentral.